This 1343-nucleotide ribosomal RNA is filed under the name uncultured bacterium. RNAcentral's name for it is "16S ribosomal RNA". It matches the Rfam family "Bacterial small subunit ribosomal RNA", at positions 28 to 1378 of the family's 1533-position model. The record is from RNAcentral.
GACGAACGCUGGCGGCGUGCUUAACACAUGCAAGUCGAACGGAAAGGCCCUGCUUUUGUGGGGUGCUCGAGUGGCGAACGGGUGAGUAACACGUGAGUAACCUGCCCUUGACUUUGGGAUGACUUCAGGAAACUGGGGCUAAUACCGGAUAGGAGCUCCUGCUGCAUGGUGGGGGUUGGAAAGUUUCGGCGGUUGGGGAUGGACUCGCGGCUUAUCAGCUUGUUGGUGGGGUAGUGGCUUACCAAGGCUUUGACGGGUAGCCGGCCUGAGAGGGUGACCGGCCACAUUGGGACUGAGAUACGGCCCAGACUCCUACGGGAGGCAGCAGUGGGGAAUAUUGCACAAUGGGCGGAAGCCUGAUGCAGCAACGCCGCGUGCGGGAUGACGGCCUUCGGGUUGUAAACCGCUUUCGCCUGUGACGAAGCGUGAGUGACGGUAAUGGGUAAAGAAGCACCGGCUAACUACGUGCCAGCAGCCGCGGUGAUACGUAGGGUGCGAGCGUUGUCCGGAUUUAUUGGGCGUAAAGGGCUCGUAGGUGGUUGAUCGCGUCGGAAGUGUAAUCUUGGGGCUUAACCCUGAGCGUGCUUUCGAUACGGGUUGACUUGAGGAAGGUAGGGGAGAAUGGAAUUCCUGGUGGAGCGGUGGAAUGCGCAAAUAUCAGGAGGAACACCAGUGGCGAAGGCGGUUCUCUGGGCCUUUCCUGACGCUGAGGAGCGAAAGCGUGGGGAGCGAACAGGCUUAGAUACCCUGGUAGUCCACGCUGUAAACGGUGGGUACUAGGUGUGGGGUCCAUUCCACGGGUUCCGUGCCGUAGCUAACGCUUUAAGUACCCCGCCUGGGGAGUACGGCCGCAAGGCUAAAACUCAAAGGAAUUGACGGGGCCCCGCACAAGCGGCGGAGCAUGCGGAUUAAUUCGAUGCAACGCGUAGAACCUUACCUGGGUUUGACAUGGAUCGGGAGUGCUCAGAGAUGGGUGUGCCUCUUUUGGGGUCGGUUCACAGGUGGUGCAUGCCUGUCGUCAGCUCGUGUCGUGAGAUGUUGGGUUAAGUCCCGCAACGAGCGCAACCCUUGUUCACUGUUGCCAGCACGUUAUGGUGGGGACUCAGUGGAGACCGCCGGGGUCAACUCGGAGGAAGGUGGGGAUGACGUCAAGUCCUCAUGCCCCUUAUGUCCAGGGCUUCACGCAUGCUACAAUGGCUGGUACAGAGAGUGGCGAGCCUGUGAGGGUGAGCGAAUCUCGGAAAGCCGGUCUCAGUUCGGAUUGGGGUCUGCAACCCGACCUCAUGAAGUCGGAGUCGCUAGUAAUCGCAGAUCAGCAACGCUGCGGUGAAUACGUUCCCGGG